Molecule: ribosomal RNA, 919 nt
Filed under: uncultured archaeon
Lineage: Archaea
Description: bacterial SSU rRNA
Rfam family: Archaeal small subunit ribosomal RNA
Source: RNAcentral
UUCCGGUUGAUCCUGCCGGACCCGACUGCUAUUUGGGUGAGAAUAAGCCAUGCGAGUUGAAUGGGAUACCUAAAGUUCCCAUAGCAAACUGCUCAGUAACACAUGAUCAACUUACCCUAUAGAGAAAAAUAACCUCGGGAAAUUGAGGAUAAUGUUUCACAAUUGAAUUGGCUUGGAAAAGUUUUUCAAUGAAAAGGAUAAAAAAAAUGGUUUUUAUCUGCUAUAGGAUAGGAUCGUGUUCGAUUAUGGUUGUUGGUGAGAUAAUGGCUCACCAAGCCGAUAAUCGAUAGGGGCCGUGAGAGCGGGAGCCCCGAGAUGGGUACUGAGACAACGACCCAGGCCUUACGAGGCGCAGCAGGCGCGGAACCUCCGCAAUACACGAAAGUGUGACGGGGUUACCCAAAGUGUUCAAUAGAACUGUGGUAGGUGAGUAAUGUCCCCUACUAGAAAGGAGAGGGCAAGGCUGGUGCCAGCCGCCGCGGUAAAACCAGCUCUUCAAGUGGUCGGGAUAAUUAUUGGGCUUAAAGUGUCCGUAGCCGGUUUAGUAAGUUCCUGGUAAAAUCGGGUAGCUUAACUAUCUGCAUGCUAGGAAUACUGCUAUACUAGAGGGCGGGAGAGGUCUGAGGUACUACAGGGGUAGGGGUGAAAUCUUAUAAUCCUUGUAGGACCACCAGUGGCGAAGGCGUCAGACUGGAACGCGCCUGACGGUGAGGGACGAAAGCCAGGGGAGCGAACCGGAUUAGAUACCCGGGUAGUCCUGACCGUAAACGAUGCAUACUAGGUGAUGGUACGGCCAUGAGCCGUAUCAGUGCCGUAGGGAAACCGUUAAGUGUGCCGCCUGGGAAGUACGGUCGCAAGGCUAAAACUUAAAGGAAUUGGCGGGGGAGCACCACAAGGGGUGAAGCCUGCGGUUCAAUUG